AUUGAACGCUGGCGGCGUGCUUAACACAUGCAAGUCGAGCGGCAGCGCGGGAGCAAUCCUGGCGGCGAGCGGCGAACGGGUGAGUAAUGCUUCGGAAUCUGCCCUUCAGUGGGGAAUAACCAGUCGAAAGACUGGCUAAUACCGCAUACGAACUGAGGUUGAAAGCAGGGGAUCGCAAGACCUUGCGCUGAUGGAUGAGCCGAAGUCGGAUUAGCUUGUUGGUGGGGUAAUGGCCUACCAAGGCGACGAUCCGUAGCUGGUCUGAGAGGACGACCAGCCACACUGGGACUGAGACACGGCCCAGACUCCUACGGGAGGCAGCAGUGGGGAAUAUUGGACAAUGGGGGCAACCCUGAUCCAGCGACGCCGCGUGUGUGAAGAAGGCCUGCGGGUUGUAAAGCACUUUUAGUGGGGAGGAAGGUCUGCGACCUAACACGUCGUGGAAUUGACUUAACCCACAGAAAAGCACCGGCUAACUCUGUGCC
This 485-nucleotide ribosomal RNA is filed under the name uncultured bacterium. RNAcentral's name for it is "bacterial SSU rRNA". It matches the Rfam family "Bacterial small subunit ribosomal RNA", at positions 30 to 509 of the family's 1533-position model. The record is from RNAcentral.